This 1369-nucleotide ribosomal RNA is filed under the name Salmonella enterica. RNAcentral describes it as "partial 23S ribosomal RNA". It matches the Rfam family "Bacterial large subunit ribosomal RNA", at positions 1592 to 2925 of the family's 2925-position model. The record is from RNAcentral. RNAcentral also lists the same sequence under 1 other name. Lineage: Bacteria; Pseudomonadati; Pseudomonadota; Gammaproteobacteria; Enterobacterales; Enterobacteriaceae.
AACAAAUGCCCUGCUUCCAGGAAAAGCCUCUAAGCAUCAGGUAACAUCAAAUCGUACCCCAAACCGACACAGGUGGUCAGGUAGAGAAUACCAAGGCGCUUGAGAGAACUCGGGUGAAGGAACUAGGCAAAAUGGUGCCGUAACUUCGGGAGAAGGCACGCUGACACGUAGGUGAAGUGAUUUACUCAUGGAGCUGAAGUCAGUCGAAGAUACCAGCUGGCUGCAACUGUUUAUUAAAAACACAGCACUGUGCAAACACGAAAGUGGACGUAUACGGUGUGACGCCUGCCCGGUGCCGGAAGGUUAAUUGAUGGGGUCAGCGCAAGCGAAGCUCCUGAUCGAAGCCCCGGUAAACGGCGGCCGUAACUAUAACGGUCCUAAGGUAGCGAAAUUCCUUGUCGGGUAAGUUCCGACCUGCACGAAUGGCGUAAUGAUGGCCAGGCUGUCUCCACCCGAGACUCAGUGAAAUUGAACUCGCUGUGAAGAUGCAGUGUACCCGCGGCAAGACGGAAAGACCCCGUGAACCUUUACUAUAGCUUGACACUGAACAUUGAGCCUUGAUGUGUAGGAUAGGUGGGAGGCUUUGAAGUGUGGACGCCAGUCUGCAUGGAGCCGACCUUGAAAUACCACCCUUUAAUGUUUGAUGUUCUAACGUGGACCCGUAAUCCGGGUUGCGGACAGUGUCUGGUGGGUAGUUUGACUGGGGCGGUCUCCUCCUAAAGAGUAACGGAGGAGCACGAAGGUUGGCUAAUCCUGGUCGGACAUCAGGAGGUUAGUGCAAUGGCAUAAGCCAGCUUGACUGCGAGCGUGACGGCGCGAGCAGGUGCGAAAGCAGGUCAUAGUGAUCCGGUGGUUCUGAAUGGAAGGGCCAUCGCUCAACGGAUAAAAGGUACUCCGGGGAUAACAGGCUGAUACCGCCCAAGAGUUCAUAUCGACGGCGGUGUUUGGCACCUCGAUGUCGGCUCAUCACAUCCUGGGGCUGAAGUAGGUCCCAAGGGUAUGGCUGUUCGCCAUUUAAAGUGGUACGCGAGCUGGGUUUAGAACGUCGUGAGACAGUUCGGUCCCUAUCUGCCGUGGGCGCUGGAGAACUGAGGGGGGCUGCUCCUAGUACGAGAGGACCGGAGUGGACGCAUCACUGGUGUUCGGGUUGUCAUGCCAAUGGCACUGCCCGGUAGCUAAAUGCGGAAGAGAUAAGUGCUGAAAGCAUCUAAGCACGAAACUUGCCCCGAGAUGAGUUCUCCCUGAGACUUAGAGUCUCCUGAAGGAACGUUGAAGACGACGACGUUGAUAGGCCGGGUGUGUAAGCGCAGCGAUGCGUUGAGCUAACCGGUACUAAUGAACCGUGAGGCUUAACCUUACAACGCCGAAG